Molecule: ribosomal RNA, 497 nt
Filed under: uncultured bacterium
Lineage: Bacteria
Description: partial 16S ribosomal RNA
Rfam family: Bacterial small subunit ribosomal RNA
Source: RNAcentral
GAUGAACGCUGGCGGCGUGCCUAAUACAUGCAAGUCGAGCGAACAGACGAGGAGCUUGCUCCUUCGACGUUAGCGGCGGACGGGUGAGUAACACGUAGGUAACCUACCUAUAAGACUGGGAUAACUUCGGGAAACCGGAGCUAAUACCGGAUAAUAUUUCUAACCGCAUGGUUCGAUAGUGAAAGAUGGCUUUGCUAUCACUUAUAGAUGGACCUGCGCCGUAUUAGCUAGUUGGUAAGGUAACGGCUUACCAAGGCAACGAUACGUAGCCGACCUGAGAGGGUGAUAGGCCAAACUGGAACUGAGACACGGUCAAGACUCCUACGGGAGGCAGCAGUAGGGAAUCUUCCGCAAUGGGCGAAAGCCUGACGGAGCAACGCCGCGUGAGUGAUGAAGGUCUUCGGAUCGUAAAACUCUGUUAUGAGGGAAGAACAAACGUGUAAGUAACUGUGCACGUCUUGACGGUACCUAAUCAGAAAGCCACGGCUAACUACGUG